GACGAACGCUGGCGGCGUGCUUAACACAUGCAAGUCGAACGGAAAGGCCCUGCUUUUGUGGGGUGCUCGAGUGGCGAACGGGUGAGUAACACGUGAGUAACCUGCCCUUGACUUUGGGUUAACUUCAGGAAACUGGGGCUAAUACCGGAUAGGAGCUCCUGCUGCAUGGUGGGGGUUGGAAGGUUUCGGCGGUUGGGGAUGGACUCGCGGCUUAUCAGCUUGUUGGUGGGGUAGUGGCUUACCAAGGCUUUGACGGGUAGCCGGCCUGAGAGGGUGACCGGCCACAUUGGGACUGAGAUACGGCCCAGACUCCUACGGGAGGCAGCAGUGGGGAAUAUUGCACAAUGGGCGGAAGCCUGAUGCAGCAACGCCGCGUGCGGGAUGACGGCCUUCGGGUUGUAAACCGCUUUCGCCUGUGACGAAGCGUGAGUGACGGUAAUGGGUAAAGAAGCACCGGCUAACUACGUG
Molecule: ribosomal RNA, 468 nt
Filed under: uncultured bacterium
Lineage: Bacteria
Description: partial 16S ribosomal RNA
Rfam family: Bacterial small subunit ribosomal RNA
Source: RNAcentral